GUUUAGGUGUCAGCAAGGGAACUCUUGGCCUCCACAUACUCUAGUGCUGCUGUCUUAACAGCCAUGACAGUUUCUGUUGUACCAUAUUUCUUUUCAUAAUCCAGGUAGCGCUUAAAGAAGAAUUUCAUCUUCUUUGGUGCUAAGUUCAGGUGUAUGACCCUCUCAAAGAUGUCCCGUAUUUCCUUCUGGCUGCCCUGUUUGAUCAUGAUGUCCAUGUAGAUAGACCAUAUGUCUGUUCGCUUCGGGUAGCUGUUAAGAGUGCUUUCAAACAGGGCCUUGGCAUGUUCUGGGUCA
RNAcentral lists this long non-coding RNA (294 nucleotides) under Gallus gallus (chicken). Lineage: Eukaryota; Metazoa; Chordata; Aves; Galliformes; Phasianidae. The record is from RNAcentral.